RNAcentral lists this long non-coding RNA (1848 nucleotides) under Linum usitatissimum (flax). Its description in RNAcentral is "long non-coding RNA (LUSI_LNC005088)". The record is from RNAcentral. Lineage: Eukaryota; Viridiplantae; Streptophyta; Magnoliopsida; Malpighiales; Linaceae.
AGAAUUCCAAUUGAAGAUUAAAGGGAUUCCCCAUUGAGGAUUGAAGCUAGAAGAUUAAAGCGACGAUUGGAGCAAGAUCGAUUCAUCGUCUCCUCGUCAAGAUGGUGGUUAGGUCGAAUUCUGAUUUGUCUUCUUCUAUAAUCAUGAGUAGCUAAUUCUUUAGAGUUUCUUGGUUGAGAUGUAGGAUUUGAGCUAUGAUACUCUCCCUAAAAGUAUAGGGUCGACGAUUGUUGUAUAUUUGGAUUCAAAUGAAUGAUUGUUUUGAUUGUUGGUUUUUAACGUUAUUCUUGUUCCAACUUGAAUUAGGUCAAAUCUAUGAAAUCCUCUAUUUGUUAGAUUCUGAAAUUCAUAUGAUUAACAAUCUAAGAUAGAUGAAAGUUAUCGGUGGGGUAAGCCAAUAGCUCGAUUCUACCUUUCGUGUUUCUUUUAGUUUUAACGGUUGUCAUCAAAUAAUUGGCGGGCACUCUGAUUUGCACCUAAUGGACCAAUUUGGGUGUAGUUAUCAGUAGUUUAGGUAUUGAUGGACCAAGUUAAUACUAAUUCCGAUUACUCAUGAUUUCCUUUCGUGUUUUUCUUUAGUUUUGAAAGAGCACCUUAUCACUCUUUAGAACUUCUCGGUGUUCAUUACCGGUUAGACUAGUUGAGGUUAUUCCAACCUUGAUUGGGAAACUAGUAGUGGUAAUCCGCGUGCAUGAUCGUGCCGUGGCGUCAUACGAGUGAUAAGAGGAAUUGUAUUAUUUAAUCCAAAUUCAACGUUUGUUCGAUCCGACUGUUAUUAAGAAGUUGAGCUUGAUGAAUUGUAUUAAUUAUCUAUUUUAAUUUGUGUUACAAUAAACAUGCAAAUACAGUUAGCUAAAUAAAUAUUUUCGCCUAGUCCUCUAUACUUCUUCAUUUCUCAAUCUUGUAUAUGACGUCUAGCUAGUCUAAUCUCUCAGAUUCAUUAUGAGUUGAUAAAUCCUCGUCAUCAACCUAAAACUGCCAAAUCAAUACUUGAGAGGUUUGUGCUUAUUUCAAUAAGAUAAAUAAAUGAAUAAAAUCUUCACAACCAUAUAGGUAAUUCUUGAGCUCAGACAAUCAGAUUCAACGGCAGUAAUAGAUUUAGAGGGAGCCUCUUUUAGUCCGUUGUCUAACCUAUUUUCGAAUUAAAGGCCAAUAUUAAACUUAUUUUACCCUUAUGUAUUCGGGACUAAUCACACCCCAACAAAACCAAUUUUUGCCUUCCUCCCAUCAUUGUCCUGCGGAAAAUGUCGCCAAGCCGCACUAUUGAUAAGAUAAUGUCCAAAUUACGCCGUGAUCCCAUUCGAGAGGGGUAUGGUGAUUUUUGAAUGGUCAUCAGGAGCUAUAAGCAUGCUGAUUUUGAUGUCUAUGAGUUACAUACUUUUCGAUAUGAAGUUAUGACUCUAGCAUACAGAAAAGGUUAUAAGAAUCUGCAAUUUCAAUUGUCUACUUAAGAAUGAUAAGUAGAUUGAUUCGACUUGUGUUCACUUUGACAGUUUCAACAACUACUAUUUAUUGGACGGGCUUUUUCAUCGACGAAUUUUGUAGAAAAUGAUCGAACAGGACAGAAUGGCUGAUGAUAUUGUCAAACAUGCAGAAAAGAGUUACGAUUUGGAUUCUAUAAUUGAGUAGUUUGGUAGAUGAAAGAAACCAAAGGGAGAGAUGUAGAAGAGAAGAGAAGGAAACGUCUCUGUCAGUUACUCAUCAUCUUUCUUUCUCAUGUUAUGUUUGUGAAUAAAGACGACAGCUGCAGGGAGGAGACAUAUAGGAUCAGAUUAUGAUACUGUGGAGGUGCGAGCGGCUCUCUGAUAUAAUUAUAACACACAGCAGAGCAUAGCUGAGCAGAGCAGC